Molecule: transfer RNA, 69 nt
Filed under: Caloptilia theivora
Lineage: Eukaryota; Metazoa; Arthropoda; Insecta; Lepidoptera; Gracillariidae
Description: tRNA-Gln
Source: RNAcentral
UUAUAUUUCACAGAAUCAAACUAUAACUAAUAAAAUCAAAAUUUAUUGUGCAUCUUACACUAAAAUAUA